AACGAACGUUGGCGGCGUGGAUUAGGCAUGCAAGUCGAACGAAUCCCGUGGGGGCAACUCUGCGGGGGAAGUGGCGAAAGGGGCAGUAAGGCAUGGGUAACCUACCCCAAGGUCGGGCAUAGCCACCCUAACGGGUGGGUAAUUCCCGGCGUGCUACCGGAGCUGCAUGGCACUGGUAGGAAAGAGUUUCGCCUUGGGAGGGGCUCAUGUGGUAUUAGCUGGUUGGUGAGGUAACGGCUCACCAAGGCCAAGAUGCCUAGCGGGUGUGAGAGCACGACCCGCGCCACUGGCACUGGGACACUGGCCAGACUCCUACGGGAGGCUGCAGUCGAGGAUCUUCGGCAAUGGGCGCAAGCCUGACCGAGCGACGCCGCGUGUGCGAUGAAGGCCUUCGGGUUGUAAAGCACUUUCGGGGGGAAGAAAGGGCAACUUGAUCGACCCCCAGAAGAAGCACGGGCUAAGUUCGUGCCAGCCGCCGCCGUAAUAC
This 487-nucleotide ribosomal RNA is filed under the name uncultured bacterium. RNAcentral's name for it is "bacterial SSU rRNA". It matches the Rfam family "Bacterial small subunit ribosomal RNA", at positions 28 to 526 of the family's 1533-position model. The record is from RNAcentral.